Molecule: long non-coding RNA, 729 nt
Filed under: Pan troglodytes (chimpanzee)
Lineage: Eukaryota; Metazoa; Chordata; Mammalia; Primates; Hominidae
Description: long non-coding RNA NONPTRT006316
Source: RNAcentral
UCACUUGAGGUCAGGAGUUUGAGACCAGCCUGGUCAACAUGGUGAAACCCUGUCUCUACGAAAAACACAAAAAAAUUAGCCAGGCAUGGUGAUGCACGCCUGUAAUUCCAGCUACUUGGGAGGCUGAGGCAGGAGAAUCGCUGGAACCUGAAAGACAGAGAUUGCAGCGAGCCGACAUCACACCACUGCACUCCAACUGGGGCGACAGAGCGAGACUCCAUCUCAAAAAAAAAAGAAAAAAGAAUGGGACACACUACUCCUUAGGCAACAGUGUUGGGUUCAUGUUUAUAGAUGAUGGAAUGAAGCAGCGGGGGACAACUUCUGGCUGGAGUGGCUUGGAGGCUGGAGCAGCUGAGCUUUAACAAGCAUCAGAGGUCAGAAUUACUUGGCUAGAUCAAGAAGCCGCACGGCAUCAUAAUGCCGCUGGCACAUCUCCCAGAACAGGGUACCAAGACCUCUGUGAAGAUACCCAUGGUUCAAUCAUCAGGACCUGCAGAUCCUUCCAUGUUAAGGACAACACCAAUAAUACUGAGAAAGCAAACGGCAGAUUGGCAGUGUUAAAGGAUAACAACGUGCCAACAGAAUAUUAAGAAAGAAAACUUCUUUGCAAAAGUUGAUAGAGAGACUACAAAUAUCAGUCAAAUUACAAACAGACAACAGAGGACAGCAUUUGGAAACGACUUCCCGAGGCAAGCACUACUCAGUGCCCCACUUCCCUCUCCCCAUGCC